Molecule: long non-coding RNA, 89 nt
Organism: Etheostoma cragini (Arkansas darter)
Lineage: Eukaryota; Metazoa; Chordata; Actinopteri; Perciformes; Percidae
Exons: 3
Source: RefSeq, a predicted model, not a curated record
UGGUGGAAGAAAAACAGAAAAUAACAAUCUGUCAAAGGAAUUGGGAUACAAGUCAGGCUGUAUGACUGUAUGAUGAAGGAGAACCCGAU